This 209-nucleotide unclassified non-coding RNA is filed under the name uncultured fungus. RNAcentral describes it as "sequence contains ITS1". Lineage: Eukaryota; Fungi. The record is from RNAcentral.
UUAAUUUAUUUUGCUUGUGCCACUCAGACAAACGCCAAUUGGGUAAUUCAGGGGUGUAGACCUCCGGCGGGUGCAGCCCGGGACGCCCGGGUCCGGAGACCGCGGGGCGACGGCCGAGCCUCCCGCCGAAGCAACAGAGGUAGUGUUCACAUGGGGUUUGGGAGUUUUAACACUCGAUAAUGAUCCCUCCGCUGGUUCACCAACGGAGA